GAAAUGCGAUAAGUAAUGUGAAUUGCAGAAUUCAGUGAAUCAUCGAAUCUUUGAACGCACAUUGCGCCCGCCAGUAUUCUGGCGGGCAUGUCUGUCCGAGCGUCAUUUCAACCAUCAAGCCCCCGGGCUUGUGUUGGGGACCUGCGGCUGCCCGCAGGCCCUGAAAACCAGUGGCGGGCUCGCUGUCACACCGAGCGUAGUAGCAAUCACCUCGCUCAGGGCGUGCUGCGGGUUCCGGCCGUUAAACAGCCUUACAAAACCCAAGGUUGACCUCGGAUCAGGUAGGAAUACCCGCUGAACUUAAGC
This 306-nucleotide unclassified non-coding RNA is filed under the name plant metagenome. Its description in RNAcentral is "partial contains 5.8S ribosomal RNA, internal transcribed spacer 2, and large subunit ribosomal RNA". The stretch from base 1 to 105 matches the Rfam family "5.8S ribosomal RNA", at positions 50 to 154 of the family's 154-position model. The record is from RNAcentral.